GAUGAAGAACGUAGUGAAAUGCGAUAAGUAAUGUGAAUUGCAGAAUUCAGUGAAUCAUCGAAUCUUUGAACGCACAUUGCGCCCGCCAGUAUUCUGGCGGGCAUGCCUGUUCGAGCGACAUUUCAACCAUCAAGCCCCCGGCUUGUGUUGGGGACCUGCGGCUGCCGCAGGCCCUGAAAAGCAGUGGCGGGCUCGCUGUCACACCGAGCGUAGUAGCAUACAUCUCGCUCUGGGCGUGCUGCGGGUUCCGGCCGUUAAACCACCUUCAUAACCCAAGGUUGACCUCGGAUCAGGUAGGAAGACCCGCUGAACUUAAGCAUAUCAAUAAGCGGAGGA
RNAcentral lists this unclassified non-coding RNA (336 nucleotides) under soil metagenome. RNAcentral describes it as "partial contains 5.8S ribosomal RNA, internal transcribed spacer 2, and large subunit ribosomal RNA". The stretch from base 1 to 120 matches the Rfam family "5.8S ribosomal RNA", at positions 35 to 154 of the family's 154-position model. The record is from RNAcentral.